This 371-nucleotide ribosomal RNA is filed under the name uncultured bacterium. RNAcentral describes it as "bacterial SSU rRNA". It matches the Rfam family "Bacterial small subunit ribosomal RNA", at positions 527 to 896 of the family's 1533-position model. The record is from RNAcentral.
AGAGGUGGCAAGCGUUGUUCGGAAUUACUGGGCGUAAAGGGCGCGUAGGCGGUCCCGUAAGUUCCGCGUGAAAUCCCCCGGCUCAACCGGGGAAUGGCGCGGAAGACUGCAGGGCUUGAGUUCGGGAGAGGGAAGCGGAAUUCCGGGUGUAGCGGUGAAAUGCGUAGAUAUCCGGAGGAACACCGGUGGCGAAGGCGGCUUCCUGGACCGACACUGACGCUGAGGCGCGAAAGCUAGGGGAGCAAACGGGAUUAGAUACCCCGGUAGUCCUAGCUGUAAACGAUGAGUGCUGGGUGUAGGGGGUAUCAACCCCCCCUGUGCCGAAGCUAACGCAUUAAGCACUCCGCCUGGGGAGCACGGUCGCAAGGCUG